GAUGAACGCUAGCGGCAGGCUUAAUACAUGCAAGUCGUGGGGCAGCAUGAGUAGCAAUACUUGAUGGCGACCGGCAAACGGGUGAGGAACACGUACACAACCUUCCUUCAAGCGGGGAAUAGCCCAGAGAAAUUUGGAUUAAUACCCCAUAAUAUAUUUGAUAAGGCAUCUUAUUAAUAUUAAAGCUUCGGCACUUGAUGAUGGGUGUGCGGCUGAUUAGAUAGUUGGCGGGGUAACGGCCCACCAAGUCUACGAUCAGUAGCUGAUGUGAGAGCAUGAUCAGCCACACGGGCACUUGAGACACGGGCCCGACUCCUACGGGAGGCAGCAGUAAGGAAUAUUGGA
Molecule: ribosomal RNA, 345 nt
Filed under: uncultured bacterium
Lineage: Bacteria
Description: bacterial SSU rRNA
Rfam family: Bacterial small subunit ribosomal RNA
Source: RNAcentral